ACAAAAGAGCAUUCAGUGGCUGGAUCUAA
RNAcentral lists this non-coding RNA (29 nucleotides) under Mus musculus (house mouse). The record is from RNAcentral. Lineage: Eukaryota; Metazoa; Chordata; Mammalia; Rodentia; Muridae.